This 71-nucleotide transfer RNA is filed under the name Fusarium falciforme. RNAcentral describes it as "tRNA-Arg". It matches the Rfam family "tRNA". From Rfam's summary of the family: Transfer RNA (tRNA) molecules are approximately 80 nucleotides in length. Their secondary structure includes four short double-helical elements and three loops (D, anti-codon, and T loops). Lineage: Eukaryota; Fungi; Ascomycota; Sordariomycetes; Hypocreales; Nectriaceae. The record is from RNAcentral.
GCUCCUCUAGUGCAAUGGUUGCAUGCAUUCUUCCGGUGGCUGUGAUCCGGGUUCGAGUCCCGGGAGGAGCU